CGUACACUCCUACGGGAGGCAGCAGUGGGGAAUAUUGGACAAUGGGCGCAAGCCUGAUCCAGCCAUGCCGCGUGAGUGAUGAAGGCCCUAGGGUUGUAAAGCUCUUUCACCGGUGAAGAUAAUGACGGUAACCGGAGAAGAAGCCCCGGCUAACUUCGUGCCAGCAGCCGCGGUAAUACGAAGGGGGCUAGCGUUGUUCGGAUUUACUGGGCGUAAAGCGCACGUAGGCGGACUAUUAAGUCAGGGGUGAAAUCCCGGGGCUCAACCCCGGAACUGCCUUUGAUACUGGUAGUCUUGAGUUCGAGAGAGGUGAGUGGAAUUCCGAGUGUAGAGGUGAAAUUCGUAGAUAUUCGGAGGAACACCAGUGGCGAAGGCGGCUCACUGGCUCGAUACUGACGCUGAGGUGCGAAAGCGUGGGGAGCAAACAGGAUUAGAAACCCUGGUAGUCCCAU
Molecule: ribosomal RNA, 452 nt
Filed under: uncultured organism
Description: partial 16S ribosomal RNA
Rfam family: Bacterial small subunit ribosomal RNA
Source: RNAcentral